RNAcentral lists this transfer RNA (72 nucleotides) under Camelus bactrianus (Bactrian camel). It matches the Rfam family "tRNA". Rfam says of the family: Transfer RNA (tRNA) molecules are approximately 80 nucleotides in length. The record is from Rfam by way of RNAcentral. RNAcentral also lists the same sequence under 2 other names. Lineage: Eukaryota; Metazoa; Chordata; Mammalia; Artiodactyla; Camelidae.
GAGGGCAGAGCUCAGGGGUAGAGCACAUGCUUAGCAUGCACGAGGUCCUGGGUUCAAUCCCCAGUAUCUCCA